AUUGCCCCUUGAGGCGUUGCAAUCCGGCUACUUUUGGUCGAGAUUGUGUCAGGAGGUGGCAUAGAGAAAUUGUCUAUGUCUACACUGGUACCCAUAAUGCCAUGGGUGCUUAGUUUGAUUAAUAGACUACACG
Small nucleolar RNA from Sardina pilchardus (European sardine), 133 nucleotides. RefSeq annotates it as small nucleolar RNA SNORA17. NCBI's taxonomy places the organism in Eukaryota, Metazoa, Chordata, Actinopteri, Clupeiformes, Clupeidae. The record is from RefSeq and is a predicted model, not a curated record. The transcript has a single exon.